UUUUGUUUUUUUUUUUUUAAAAAAAAAACAAUGAUACAUAACCAGAAGUCAGGAUGAAAUUAAAAACUUGUGAUAUCACAAACUAUAGUUUUAAGAGAUCAGAUGAUAUUUGGAUUAAAGACAACAUGAGAUGAACAAGAGGAAUAAGGACCAGAUGAUCACAACUAGGACGGAUAUUCACUUUCACCACAAAGAACACUCAAAGGGAAAGAAAUAAACUCUCAAAAUCAUAUUAAUUCUCAAUUGUCAGUAUCAAUAAUAAUAAGCUCUAUCAUAAUACCUAUAUGACAUGAUAUUUAUAGUAUAAUAACUAGUCCUACUAGUAAUAGGAUUAGAAAUCUGAAAAUAAGAAAUAUUAAACCAAUACUAAUUAGGAAUACCAAACACAAUUUUUAUAAGGUCAAACACUCAUUAAAUACAAAACCAGUAACUGUAAAAGUGCAGCUAAGGGCCUGCUUCAGAGCUAAGGGCCUGCUUCGGAGCAUUAAUAAGUCCAAAUUUCGCAUGUAGAUAAUAUCCUACCAUUCAAUAUGACUAUUUUUGUUGAUUGUGACUUACAAACAACAUGAUCAAAAACUCAAACAGAUAAUCAAAUAGUCAAGCUCAUUCAUGGCAGCCUGGGAUGUCCAUCCUCAACUAUUUCACUAUAUAGAAAGGGUCAAAAGCUCAUUACAAGCGGCUAUUUACGAGGUAAAAUAUUAACAGUCUAGAAGGCUCACUGCAUAUACACAAUGCCUUCAACUGUUCUCUGCAUCAUUUAAUAGUACAAUCCCAGGUCAAUACUAUUGUUAGGGGAGAGGGCUGCUAUUUUUGAAGCACUUUUACCACAUGAAUGAUGCAAGGCUAGAAAGGCUGGAAACUAGCACGGUGGCGCAGGAUUGGAGAAACACAAAGUAAACACUCAACAUACCACUUGAAGAGUUCUUUUGCCCAUGAAACUAAGCAAAAUCCUUGCAUAAUAGAUUAUAACAAUUCACAAACCAGUUUGUUAAUUCAGAUGAACUCCAGAACUAAGUGCAUACUAUUCCAAAAAAAGCCAAAGGAUCACACAACAAAGAUCAUAAACAAUACCCCCUCCGUCUCAUUUCAAGUGAUUUUUUUUCAAAAAAAAAAAUUGUCCCACUUUAUUUGCUUUUUUAGAAAAUUAAGGAAACAUUAAUUAUUUUUUUUCCAACUUUACUCUUAUCUAUUGUUACCUCCAAUGCAUUUAUCUCUUCCUUAUCACUUUUCUCUAUCUUAAUUAAAUAUAAGUACUUAAGUCAAUUAUUAGUAUUUUUUUUUCAUAAAAUGAAGUUAUCCAAUCAUUUCUGCAAAAA
RNAcentral lists this unclassified non-coding RNA (1316 nucleotides) under Hevea brasiliensis (rubber tree). Lineage: Eukaryota; Viridiplantae; Streptophyta; Magnoliopsida; Malpighiales; Euphorbiaceae. The record is from RNAcentral.